Molecule: long non-coding RNA, 342 nt
Organism: Monopterus albus (swamp eel)
Lineage: Eukaryota; Metazoa; Chordata; Actinopteri; Synbranchiformes; Synbranchidae
Exons: 3
Source: RefSeq, a predicted model, not a curated record
AAGUGGCCAGCUGGAUGCACUUCAUUCCCUGCUCUCCAGCUAUUAUUUCCUGUAUGCUAAUGUGCGCCAUGGCCUCCUGCACCACCUCCUGGAGACCUACAGCUUGUAUGAUAAGAAGCAUAAUUCUGCACCCUCAAUUGGCUUCCAGGGCAGUCUGGAGGACUGUCGUUGUUUCCUGCGGCGUCACUCCCUCCUUCUCUCCUCCUGGCCGGCUCUUUUCAUUCAGCAGGCCCUCAAUGAGCAUCCAGAGACAUCUGCUCACACCUGGGCACAAGGCCUGGUGAGAAAGGGAGGAGUCCGGGUAGUUGAGUGGCUAAACAAUGGCAGUCAGUCUGUUCAAGG